This 257-nucleotide unclassified non-coding RNA is filed under the name Glomeraceae sp. Its description in RNAcentral is "partial contains 5.8S ribosomal RNA and internal transcribed spacer 2". The stretch from base 1 to 65 matches the Rfam family "5.8S ribosomal RNA", at positions 84 to 154 of the family's 154-position model. Lineage: Eukaryota; Fungi; Glomeromycota; Glomeromycetes; Glomerales; Glomeraceae. The record is from RNAcentral.
GUGAAUCAUCAAAUUUUUGAACGCAAAUUGCACUCUCCUCGGAGAGUAUGCCUGUUUGAGGGUCAGCCUAUAAAAAAUCGACAUCGUUGCUGUUUCGCGGUGGCGUUCGUCGGAAAUUGGGUCAUCUUAAAUCUUUUGGUUUUAAGCGACUUAAAAUUUUCUUUUUGGUUCCAUGAACGUUUCUAAGAUUUAUUUCUUCACACGUUUAAGGUAUCGAUUUUUAUAAGCCUGUCCCUCAUUAUGGAUUGCCCCCCAUA